Molecule: long non-coding RNA, 1702 nt
Organism: Esox lucius (northern pike)
Lineage: Eukaryota; Metazoa; Chordata; Actinopteri; Esociformes; Esocidae
Source: Ensembl
GACCGGUUGAUUUUGCAGGAUUGAACGGAUGUUGCUAAUUCCCCGGGCAAAUGUAGUUUAUAUAUAUGGGUGUGGUUUAUAAACCAUAUUGGUAAUUUAGGUACUGCUUAAAAUUGUGACUAGAGUCAAAUACUUUUCGUGGGAUACUCAGGUGGUCAACAUGAGCUACCAAAAUGACUAUGAAGUGUGCCAGACUUUGCAGUGCCAAGAUUGAGGGGGGAGGGGGGUCAUUUCAGCAGGGAGGAAAAUGGCCUUGCAGAAAUUACCUCCCCAAAACUUGCUUCAAACUGUGACUACAGUCAAAUAUUUUUUCGGCAGGGGUGUUGAUUUUGGCACAACCGGGUUUGUGGUCCAUUGCGCAGAAUGGCAUUGCUGGACCGUAGACCGUGGUUCACAGGGGAGAGCAUGUCUAUUAUUGCUAACUAAUUAUGGAGCUAUUUUGUGAUUUCAACAGGUUAAAUUUUUACUAUACUAUACUGUUGAUAAUAUGGUUAAAAGGUAAAAGAAAAAUAAUCGACCGUCAUGGAUGGUGUGCUUUUCCUGAGUACCAGUGCAAAAGAUGCCGGCCUACUUGACAUGGAAUUGUAUGGAUUAGAAUGACAAGCAUACUGAAUGAAUAGACGAAGAAGGAGAGCGAAGAUGGAGACAGAGGAGGGUGAGGAUAAGCUUGUGAUGAGAGCACGAGAGAGGAAGCCAGCUCAGUAGCACCUCUGUAUCUAUCCUUGCUCACGUCUCCCCAGCUGUGAGCUGCACCUCUGUAUCUAUCCCUGCUCACGUCUCCCCAGCUCUGAGCUGCACCUCUGUUGCCCUUCUCCACACGGAUCUACGGUCUUCAGCAUGCAUGUUAUUUUUCUCUGGUUCUCCAGUCAUGGGUAAAGACUUGCCAAGCUGUGCUACGGACCUUAUGCAAAAUACACGAGCUCUGGCAUAGCCAGCCCUGCCGUAGCAUCCCAGUAAGCCUAGACAACAUCCCUGUGGGUACUUCGCCAGAGGGCAGGUUAACUAUUCUGGGGUGGGUCUGUGUGGUGGAGGAUUUAUACAGCGCUCACGAGCCCGGCUGACUGAGCCAAGUUUCCCGGUCGUAAGUUUCAGACAGGGCACUGGAUGAAGCAAAGCGAGCUAUUGACUGAAAGUAUGCCCUGUCUUCACUUGCUGUCUGAUUGAUACACGACAACACUCCGGAUGUAUGGACUAUAAUGGGAUACAUUUUCUGUGGAGCCUUUGAGACCCUCGAAGCGGCGCGUUCGUUUCUCUCCUUGAUAAACAGACCCUGGACAUCAAAGCAUUCCCCCCUCGGACUCAUCCAGUUGUUCCGUAUUAGCAGUAGACCAUAAUGACUUGCGUUACAAAUAAUUGAUAGUGCUGUGUACCGUGUCUCAUUGACUUGUGUUGCAUUACAUUCAUUUGAAUCCUAGCUACCAAUUGUUUCAUGUUAGCCCAGUUAACUGAAGUUCAGGCUUGAUGCGAUUCAUUAACAGCCCAACACAUGCAGUGGAGGGAUCAGUCAUUAGAUUAAAUGGAGUGCCACCACUAGAGUACAGUACAGUACAGAGUCAGCAAGUGCAGGUUACAAUUCGACCUAGUUCACUGCUUGUGUACAAUCGUUUGAAAAGCAACAGUCAUUGUUUUUGAGUGUUAUUGUGUUCCCUCAAUUCUCUAUAGAUACACUUGCGUCAGACCAUCUCGCAAUGCAUUACCAGCC